CCUACGGGUGGCAGCAGUGAGGAAUAUUGGUCAAUGGUCGGGAGACUGAACCAGCCAAGCCGCGUGAGGGAGGAAGGUACAGAGUAUCGUAAACCUCUUUUGUCAGGGAACAAAGGCGGGGACGUGUCCCCGGAUGAGUGUACCUGAAGAAAAAGCAUCGGCUAACUCCGUGCCAGCAGCCGCGGUAAUACGGAGGAUGCGAGCGUUAGCCGGAUUUAUGGGGUUUAAAGGGUGCGCAGGCUGUCUGUUAAGUCAGCGGUCAAAGCCCGGGGCUCAACCCCGGCCCGCCGUUGAAACUGGCAGUCUCGAGUUGGAGAGAAGUAUGCGGAAUGCGCGGUGUAGCGGUGAAAUGCAUAGAUAUCGCGCAGAACUCCGAUUGCGAAGGCAGCAUGCCGGCUCCACACUGACGCUGAGGCACGAAAGCGUGGGGAUCGAACAGGAUUAGAUACCCUAGUAGUC
This 459-nucleotide ribosomal RNA is filed under the name uncultured bacterium. RNAcentral's name for it is "partial 16S ribosomal RNA". It matches the Rfam family "Bacterial small subunit ribosomal RNA", at positions 338 to 795 of the family's 1533-position model. The record is from RNAcentral.